Nothobranchius furzeri (turquoise killifish) is the source of this 425-nucleotide non-coding RNA. Lineage: Eukaryota; Metazoa; Chordata; Actinopteri; Cyprinodontiformes; Nothobranchiidae. The record is from RefSeq and is a predicted model, not a curated record.
AGCACCCACGUUUUCUUCAUGGCCGAGAGAGCGGUGCAGAGCUUUUAGGACAUACAUAUUGAUUGGGAGAAACGGACUAACACCGACAUGCCUCGUAAGGAGAGGAGGCAGAAGCAGCGACAGAAAGAGCUACGUGAGGCAGCUAAAGGCAGUGGGUCCCUCACCAGCUGGAUAAAAAAAGAGUACAGUCUGAGAUCAACACAGCCUUGCCCUCCAGCAUCAGCAGCAGCAGCACGAGGAGCAACCCUGCAACAGCUACACUGUACCCCAUCAUAAGGUAAAAUAGGACAGCAAUAGAUCAGGAGGUGGAGCAGCUUGUCCAGCAAUAAGAAGGUUGCAGGUUUGAUCCUGACUUCAAUCAGAGAUUGAUGCUGUUGUGUCCUUGGGCAAGAAACUUAACCUGCUUUGCCUGCUGGUGGUGGUCG